CCUACGGGUGGCAGCAGUGAGGAAUAUUGGUCAAUGGACGAGAGUCUGAACCAGCCAAGUAGCGUGAAGGAUGACUGCCCUAUGGGUUGUAAACUUCUUUUAUAUGGGAAUAAAAUGUUCCACGUGUGGGUUUUUGUAUGUACCACAUGAAUAAGGAUCGGCUAAUUCCGUGCCAGCAGCCGCGGUAAUACGGAGGGUCCGGGCGUUAUCCGGAUUUAUUGGGUUUAAGGGGAGCGUAGGCGGUUUGUUAAGCCAGUUGUGAAAGUUUGCGGCUCAACCGUGAAAUUGCAGUUGAAACUGGCAGUCUUGAGUACGGGAGAGGUAGGCGGAAUUCGUGGUGUAGCGGUGAAAUGCUUAGAUAUCACGAAGAACUCCGAUUGCGAAGGCAGCUCACUGGACUGCAACUGACGCUGAGGCUCGAAAGUGUGGGUAUCGAACAGGAUUAGAUACCCCUGUAGUC
This 460-nucleotide ribosomal RNA is filed under the name uncultured bacterium. RNAcentral's name for it is "partial 16S ribosomal RNA". It matches the Rfam family "Bacterial small subunit ribosomal RNA", at positions 338 to 795 of the family's 1533-position model. The record is from RNAcentral.